This 559-nucleotide ribosomal RNA is filed under the name Escherichia coli. Its description in RNAcentral is "partial 23S ribosomal RNA". It matches the Rfam family "Bacterial large subunit ribosomal RNA", at positions 455 to 1014 of the family's 2925-position model. The record is from RNAcentral. Lineage: Bacteria; Pseudomonadati; Pseudomonadota; Gammaproteobacteria; Enterobacterales; Enterobacteriaceae.
AUCCUCCAAGGCUAAAUACUCCUGACUGACCGAUAGUGAACCAGUACCGUGAGGGAAAGGCGAAAAGAACCCCGGCGAGGGGAGUGAAAAAGAACCUGAAACCGUGUACGUACAAGCAGUGGGAGCAUGCUUAGGCGUGUGACUGCGUACCUUUUGUAUAAUGGGUCAGCGACUUAUAUUCUGUAGCAAGGUUAACCGAAUAGGGGAGCCGAAGGGAAACCGAGUCUUAACUGGGCGUUAAGUUGCAGGGUAUAGACCCGAAACCCGGUGAUCUAGCCAUGGGCAGGUUGAAGGUUGGGUAACACUAACUGGAGGACCGAACCGACUAAUGUUGAAAAAUUAGCGGAUGACUUGUGGCUGGGGGUGAAAGGCCAAUCAAACCGGGAGAUAGCUGGUUCUCCCCGAAAGCUAUUUAGGUAGCGCCUCGUGAAUUCAUCUCCGGGGGUAGAGCACUGUUUCGGCAAGGGGGUCAUCCCGACUUACCAACCCGAUGCAAACUGCGAAUACCGGAGAAUGUUAUCACGGGAGACACACGGCGGGUGCUAACGUCCGUCGUGAA